GUACACAAAAAUGCACAUACUGUGAGCUCGAUGAGUAGGGCGGGACACGUGGUAUCCUGUCUGAAUAUGGGGGGACCAUCCUCCAAGGCUAAAUACUCCUGACUGACCGAUAGUGAACCAGUACCGUGAGGGAAAGGCGAAAAGAACCCCGGCGAGGGGAGUGAAAAAGAACCUGAAACCGUGUACGUACAAGCAGUGGGAGCCUCUUAAUGGGGUGACUGCGUACCUUUUGUAUAAUGGGUCAGCGACUUAUAUUCUGUAGCAAGGUUAACCGAAUAGGGGAGCCGAAGGGAAACCGAGUCUUAACUGGGCGUUAAGUUGCAGGGUAUAGACCCGAAACCCGGUGAUCUAGCCAUGGGCAGGUUGAAGGUUGGGUAACACUAACUGGAGGACCGAACCGACUAAUGUUGAAAAAUUAGCGGAUGACUUGUGGCUGGGGGUGAAAGGCCAAUCAAACCGGGAGAUAGCUGGUUCUCCCCGAAAGCUAUUUAGGUAGCGCCUCGUGAAUUCAUCUCCGGGGGUAGAGCACUGUUUCGGCAAGGGGGUCAUCCCGACUUACCAACCCGAUGCAAACUGCGAAUACCGGAGAAUGUUAUCACGGGAGACACACGGCGGGUGCUAACGUCCGUCGUGAAGAGGGAAACAACCCAGACCGCCAGCUAAGGU
This 666-nucleotide ribosomal RNA is filed under the name Escherichia coli. RNAcentral describes it as "partial 23S ribosomal RNA". It matches the Rfam family "Bacterial large subunit ribosomal RNA", at positions 375 to 1045 of the family's 2925-position model. Lineage: Bacteria; Pseudomonadati; Pseudomonadota; Gammaproteobacteria; Enterobacterales; Enterobacteriaceae. The record is from RNAcentral.